CUUUCAUAAAAUGAGAUUCAACAACCCAUAAUACAUAGAAGUUACAAAUAUUUAUAGAGAAUAGAAAAUAACUUCCUACAUCUAAGAUUUUGACAAGUGCCUUUUUAAUAACUUCUAGUAUCAAAGAUUGCCACUUGUCCCUUUGAAUAACUUCCGAUAACUUCUUUGUAGGAGUUGUUUGCUUGAUCGACGCACCAUGUCCAUAUUCGACUCUUUGAA
This 219-nucleotide long non-coding RNA is filed under the name Trifolium pratense (red clover). RNAcentral describes it as "long non-coding RNA (TPRA_LNC013330)". Lineage: Eukaryota; Viridiplantae; Streptophyta; Magnoliopsida; Fabales; Fabaceae. The record is from RNAcentral.